AUCCAAUAGGAUGCAUGCAUUCUUUCUAAAGAGAAAUAAUUCAAGUAUUAAUUAGCGUGCUACGCUAUUUAUUUUCAAGGGAUAAAUUGCUCGAGGGCGAGUGAGGCCAAAGCGAGUAAUUGAGUUGAGACAUAAGCAUAUCAGGUUGAACGUCAAGAGGAUGGAGAAAUGAUCGGAGUCGAUGCUACUAAAUAAUCAAGUGGAUCUUUCUUCAUACACGAAGUCGUCUAGUAUGGACUUAUUCCGCUGCUCUUUUGUGAAGUGAGACAUCUUAGAAUCUCACCUUCGAACUCUGAUUUAUUGAUGAAAUGUUUAUUCUAGUUCUAAGACCAUGUAAUGGUACAUUUGACUUCUAUUCUAUGAUAUGAUCGACUUGGCCUUCGGGUAUA
Salvia hispanica is the source of this 389-nucleotide long non-coding RNA. RefSeq lists it as uncharacterized. Lineage: Eukaryota; Viridiplantae; Streptophyta; Magnoliopsida; Lamiales; Lamiaceae. The record is from RefSeq and is a predicted model, not a curated record.